Molecule: ribosomal RNA, 430 nt
Filed under: uncultured archaeon
Lineage: Archaea
Description: bacterial SSU rRNA
Rfam family: Archaeal small subunit ribosomal RNA
Source: RNAcentral
UACCAGCUCUCCGAGUGGUAGGGAUGAUUAUUGGGCUUAAAGCGUCCGUAGCCGGCUUAGCAAGUCUCCUGUUAAAUUCAGCGACCUAAUCGUUGAGCCGCGGGAGAUACUACUAGGCUAGGAGGCGGGAGAGGUCGACGGUACUUUCGGGGUAGGGGUGAAAUCCUAUAACCCCGGGAGGAACACCAGUGGCGAAGGCUGUCGACUAGAACGCGCUCGACGGUGAGGGACGAAAGCUGGGGGAGCGAACCGGAUUAGAUACCCGGGUAGUCCCAGCUGUAAACGAUGCGGGCUAGGUGUUGGGGUGGCUACAGGCCACUUCAGUGCCGCAGGAAAGCCAUUAAGCCCGCCGACCUGGGGAGUACGGCCGCAAGGCUGAAACUUAAGGAAUUGGCGGGGGAGCGACCACAAGGCGUGAAGCUUGCGGUUC